GACGAACGCUGGCGGCGUGCUUAACACAUGCAAGUCGAACGGAAAGGCCCUGCUUUUGUGGGGUGCUCGAGUGGCGAACGGGUGAGUAACACGUGAGUAACCUGUACUUGACUGUGGGAUAUCUUCAGGAAACUGGGGCUAUUACCGGAUAGGAGCUCCUGCUGCAUGGUGGGGGUUGGUAAGUUUCGGCGGUUGGGGAUGGACUGGCGGCUUAUCAGCUUGUUGGUGGGGUAGUGGCUUACCAAGGCUAUGAGGGGUAGCCCGCCUGGGAGGGUAACCGGCCACAUGGGGCCUGAGAUACGGCCCAGACUCGUACGGGAGGCAGCGGUGGAGAGUAUUACACAAUGGGCGGGAGCCAGAUGUGACAACGCCGCGUGCGGGAAGCCGUGCUUCGGGUUGUGAACCACUUUCGCCUGAGACGAGGCGUGAGUGACGGUACUGGGUAAAGAAGCACCGGCUAACUACGUG
Molecule: ribosomal RNA, 468 nt
Filed under: uncultured bacterium
Lineage: Bacteria
Description: partial 16S ribosomal RNA
Rfam family: Bacterial small subunit ribosomal RNA
Source: RNAcentral